This 1435-nucleotide ribosomal RNA is filed under the name Lacticaseibacillus rhamnosus. RNAcentral describes it as "bacterial SSU rRNA". It matches the Rfam family "Bacterial small subunit ribosomal RNA". Lineage: Bacteria; Bacillati; Bacillota; Bacilli; Lactobacillales; Lactobacillaceae. The record is from RNAcentral.
AUGCAAGUCGAACGAGUUCUGAUUAUUGAAAGGUGCUUGCAUCUUGAUUUAAUUUUGAACGAGUGGCGGACGGGUGAGUAACACGUGGGUAACCUGCCCUUAAGUGGGGGAUAACAUUUGGAAACAGAUGCUAAUACCGCAUAAAUCCAAGAACCGCAUGGUUCUUGGCUGAAAGAUGGCGUAAGCUAUCGCUUUUGGAUGGACCCGCGGCGUAUUAGCUAGUUGGUGAGGUAACGGCUCACCAAGGCAAUGAUACGUAGCCGAACUGAGAGGUUGAUCGGCCACAUUGGGACUGAGACACGGCCCAAACUCCUACGGGAGGCAGCAGUAGGGAAUCUUCCACAAUGGACGCAAGUCUGAUGGAGCAACGCCGCGUGAGUGAAGAAGGCUUUCGGGUCGUAAAACUCUGUUGUUGGAGAAGAAUGGUCGGCAGAGUAACUGUUGUCGGCGUGACGGUAUCCAACCAGAAAGCCACGGCUAACUACGUGCCAGCAGCCGCGGUAAUACGUAGGUGGCAAGCGUUAUCCGGAUUUAUUGGGCGUAAAGCGAGCGCAGGCGGUUUUUUAAGUCUGAUGUGAAAGCCCUCGGCUUAACCGAGGAAGUGCAUCGGAAACUGGGAAACUUGAGUGCAGAAGAGGACAGUGGAACUCCAUGUGUAGCGGUGAAAUGCGUAGAUAUAUGGAAGAACACCAGUGGCGAAGGCGGCUGUCUGGUCUGUAACUGACGCUGAGGCUCGAAAGCAUGGGUAGCGAACAGGAUUAGAUACCCUGGUAGUCCAUGCCGUAAACGAUGAAUGCUAGGUGUUGGAGGGUUUCCGCCCUUCAGUGCCGCAGCUAACGCAUUAAGCAUUCCGCCUGGGGAGUACGACCGCAAGGUUGAAACUCAAAGGAAUUGACGGGGGCCCGCACAAGCGGUGGAGCAUGUGGUUUAAUUCGAAGCAACGCGAAGAACCUUACCAGGUCUUGACAUCUUUUGAUCACCUGAGAGAUCAGGUUUCCCCUUCGGGGGCAAAAUGACAGGUGGUGCAUGGUUGUCGUCAGCUCGUGUCGUGAGAUGUUGGGUUAAGUCCCGCAACGAGCGCAACCCUUAUGACUAGUUGCCAGCAUUUAGUUGGGCACUCUAGUAAGACUGCCGGUGACAAACCGGAGGAAGGUGGGGAUGACGUCAAAUCAUCAUGCCCCUUAUGACCUGGGCUACACACGUGCUACAAUGGAUGGUACAACGAGUUGCGAGACCGCGAGGUCAAGCUAAUCUCUUAAAGCCAUUCUCAGUUCGGACUGUAGGCUGCAACUCGCCUACACGAAGUCGGAAUCGCUAGUAAUCGCGGAUCAGCACGCCGCGGUGAAUACGUUCCCGGGCCUUGUACACACCGCCCGUCACACCAUGAGAGUUUGUAACACCCGAAGCCGGUGGCGUAACCCUUUUAGGGAGCGAG